RNAcentral lists this long non-coding RNA (806 nucleotides) under Chinchilla lanigera (long-tailed chinchilla). Its description in RNAcentral is "lncRNA (ENSCLAG00000024236.1)". The record is from RNAcentral. Lineage: Eukaryota; Metazoa; Chordata; Mammalia; Rodentia; Chinchillidae.
GAAUGUUCUAGUAUGUAGGUCAAGAUGGUGAGAAAUGUUGAAAUCAUGGUGCUUGGGGAUGUUGGAGGCAGAAUAACCAUGUGAUCUGAAGAUAGUCACUAGAUAUCUUUAUGCCAUCAAAAGAUCCCAGUGAAGCAAGACAUUCGACAGCAGCUCUGAUCCUUGCCUGCACUUACAAAGGCAUCUUCCCAAGGGUUUCCCUAAGUGGAAAUACUUUCUUACAAGGAAGUCCAAGAACAUCCAGACAUCAUGGAGCUUCCCGCAUGAGUGCCACUGUGAGCCACUGGAGGUCUGCAGUGCCAGAGCUGAGGGCCCUGGGAACCCAAGCAGCCUUUUCAGGGUCCCACGGAGGCCAUCAAACAGCACAAUUUCCACUGUGGCUAUGGAGGAUGUCCCACUUCCAGUCACAUUUGAGCACAGAACCCUCUUUCUCUCAUAAAAAUCAUGACGGAGCACAAAUUUUGGAAUCGUUGGUGCAUUUGAAAGAAAAGAGAUUUUGCAGCCAGUGAAGUUCAUUCAGAUGUGAAUGAACUUCUACAAACAGCAUCAAUCUGCACAAUAAAAUAAGACCAAAGCCCCCAUACUCUCCCUGGCUGUGAUGGUGUGCAGAGAUGAGGGUAAGACCCAUCUUCAGAGGUAAUCCCUGAUUCGUGUGCAGUUACUUCCCUCACACUUUGAGUAAUAAACUCUUUAUACAGAUUACAGUUUUUCCUAGAUAUAUAAAAGGAAUUGGUUCCAGGACCUGCAUGGAUUCCAAAAUCCAAGAAUGCUCAAAUUCCUUAGAUAACAUAGCAUUUGCAUAGAAC